Molecule: transfer RNA, 72 nt
Filed under: Camelus bactrianus (Bactrian camel)
Lineage: Eukaryota; Metazoa; Chordata; Mammalia; Artiodactyla; Camelidae
Also listed under: 2 other names
Rfam family: tRNA
About the family: Transfer RNA (tRNA) molecules are approximately 80 nucleotides in length. Their secondary structure includes four short double-helical elements and three loops (D, anti-codon, and T loops).
Source: Rfam by way of RNAcentral
GUGGGUAUAGCUCAGUGGUAGAGUGUACGCUUAGCAAGCAUGAGGUCCUGGGUUCGAUCCCCAAUACCUCCA